RNAcentral lists this ribosomal RNA (253 nucleotides) under uncultured bacterium. Its description in RNAcentral is "partial 16S ribosomal RNA". It matches the Rfam family "Bacterial small subunit ribosomal RNA", at positions 524 to 776 of the family's 1533-position model. The record is from RNAcentral.
UACGUAGGGUGCGAGCGUUAAUCGGAAUUACUGGGCGUAAAGCGUGCGCAGGCGGUUCGUUGUGUCCGUCGUGAAAGCCCCGGGCUUAACCUGGGAACUGCGAUGGAAACUAGCGAGCUGGAGUGUGGCAGAGGGGGGUGGAAUUCCGCGUGUAGCAGUGAAAUGCGUAGAGAUGCGGAGGAACACCGAUGGCGAAGGCAGCCCCCUGGGCUAACACUGACGCUGAGGCGCGAAAGCGUGGGGAGCAAACAGG